This 398-nucleotide ribosomal RNA is filed under the name uncultured bacterium. RNAcentral's name for it is "bacterial SSU rRNA". It matches the Rfam family "Bacterial small subunit ribosomal RNA", at positions 28 to 433 of the family's 1533-position model. The record is from RNAcentral.
GACGAACGCUGGCGGCGUGCUUAACACAUGCAAGUCGAGCGGUAAGGCCCUUCGGGUACACGAGCGGCGAACGGGUGAGUAACACGUGGGUGACCUGCCUCUAGCUCUGGGAUAAGCCUGGGAAACUGGGUCUAAUACCGGAUAUGACUCCACGGCGCAUGUUGUGGGGUGGAAAGCCUUGUGUGGCUAGAGAUGGGCCCGCGGCCUAUCAGCUUGUUGGUGGGGUGAGGCCUACCAAGGCGACGACGGGUAGCCGGCCUGAGAGGGCGACCGGCCACACUGGGACUGAGACGCGGCCCAGACUCCUACGGGAGGCAGCAGUGGGGAAUCUUGCGCAAUGGGCGAAAGCCUGACGCAGCGACGCCGCGUGAGGGAUGACGGCCUGGUGUAACUACUUC